Carcharodon carcharias (great white shark) is the source of this 84-nucleotide non-coding RNA. The record is from the annotation of a RefSeq genome assembly. NCBI's taxonomy places the organism in Eukaryota, Metazoa, Chordata, Chondrichthyes, Lamniformes, Lamnidae.
GUCAGGAUGGCUGAGUGGUCUAAGGUGUCCGACUCAAGUUCUGGUCCCUUUCUAGGGGUGUGGGUUCAAAUCCCACUCCUGACA